AAGUCGUAACAAGGUUUCCGUAGGUGAACCUGCGGAAGGAUCAUUAAUGAAAUGCAAGGAUGCUCUUUUUAGAGGUCCGACUCAAUUCAUUUCCUUACCCUGUGCACAAUACUAUUUUUUACACCCAUUUUAAACACUAUAGUCUAAGAAUGUCAUAGUCUCUUAAUUGAGCAUAAACAUAAUAAAACUUUCGGCAACGGAUCUCUUGGCUCCC
Molecule: unclassified non-coding RNA, 214 nt
Filed under: fungal sp.
Lineage: Eukaryota; Fungi
Description: partial internal transcribed spacer region
Rfam family: Eukaryotic small subunit ribosomal RNA (bases 1-46)
Source: RNAcentral